UACAGAGGUCUCGAGCGUUGUUCGGAUUCAUUGGGCGUAAAGGGUGCGUAGGUGGCGAGGUAAGUCGGAUGUGAAAUCCCGGGGCUCAACCCUGGAACUGCAUUCGAUACUGCCCUGCUUGAGUACUGGAGAGGAGAUUGGAAUUUACGGUGUAGCAGUGAAAUGCGUAGAUAUCGUAAGGAAGACCAGUGGCGAAGGCGGAUCUCUGGACAGUUACUGACACUGAGGCACGAAGGCCAGGGGAGCAAACGGG
RNAcentral lists this ribosomal RNA (253 nucleotides) under uncultured bacterium. RNAcentral describes it as "partial 16S ribosomal RNA". It matches the Rfam family "Bacterial small subunit ribosomal RNA", at positions 524 to 776 of the family's 1533-position model. The record is from RNAcentral.